GGUCCAGGGUUUCUGUUGACCACCUCCAACCACCAUCUUACCUCAAUUAGCAC
RNAcentral lists this transfer RNA (53 nucleotides) under Schistosoma mansoni. Lineage: Eukaryota; Metazoa; Platyhelminthes; Trematoda; Strigeidida; Schistosomatidae. The record is from RNAcentral.